UGACCUCGUGAUCCGCCCGCCUUGGCCUCCCAAAGUGCUGGGAUUACAGGCAUGAACCACCGAUCCCGGCCAAGGAGUCAGAAUUCUUAAAUGGCUUAAUCAGUUGUACAUAUAGUUGAGGGCAGAAAUAAAUUUAUUAAUAAAAUCUAU
This is a long non-coding RNA of Sapajus apella (tufted capuchin), 150 nucleotides long. RefSeq lists it as uncharacterized. Lineage: Eukaryota; Metazoa; Chordata; Mammalia; Primates; Cebidae. The transcript is spliced from 2 exons. The record is from RefSeq and is a predicted model, not a curated record.